AAUUAUAAAAACAUAGAUACUCAUAUAAGCCUCUAAUAUGGUGAGGUGUUUCUACCUAUAGCCCUAAACUAUAGUCUAUGAGUUGGAAUUGGAAGACU
RNAcentral lists this non-coding RNA (98 nucleotides) under Peptostreptococcus stomatis. Its description in RNAcentral is "Guanine sequence". It matches the Rfam family "Purine riboswitch aptamer". From Rfam's summary of the family: Riboswitches are metabolite binding domains within certain messenger RNAs that serve as precision sensors for their corresponding targets. Allosteric rearrangement of mRNA structure is mediated by ligand binding, and this results in modulation of gene expression. RNAcentral also lists the same sequence under 1 other name. The record is from RNAcentral. Lineage: Bacteria; Bacillati; Bacillota; Clostridia; Peptostreptococcales; Peptostreptococcaceae.